CUUAACUGUGCCAAAUACAUGUAAUUCUUACUUAAUAUACUUAUACUCUUUGACCAAACAGACGACAGCCAAAGUCAUCGACUUUCCUUUGACCGCGAGCUUGCUCAGAAUGUCGGCGGUGCAGCAUUCCGCACUUCUAAUUAGACGGGCCAAUGUCACGUUGAAGCCUGUCGGUUACCUCCAGCACUUUGCAGCCCAGCGGACCCUGAUAAUGAACUCGGUCCUCACCUCCAAUGGCGACGAAGUAUCAAAAGCCCUUGCGGGUGCCCUGACAGAGGAUUGUCUUCUGCAACAUGUCAUAUUCUAUGACACAUUCGGUGUGAAGGAGCUUCCCACGGGAACAGGUGUGUUCGUUGACCUGCCGUCAACAAUGGCAUUUAAAUGUGAUUCCCAGCCAGCAGCCGACUUCAAUCUGCUUAGCCCUUUCUAACUGAAAUGCACUGAAUUUUCUUUUCUUUUUUGCCAAGAUGGCUGGUUUAAAGCUGCUGUUGUGGCCCUUAAAAGCAUAAGCAUGACAACCUGGGAAUUGCCUUGUUCCUUCUUCCCUUGGAACCCCACAGCUUCCCAGGAGAGAGAAGUGCAAACUUAAAAUCAAGCAAGAAGAGCAAGGAUGACAUACUCGCCAAGGGAUGCAAGCAGCGGGGUGCCUGGGACCGGGAUUUUGUUGCAGAGGUUGAUAAAGUCAUGGAUGAAGUUGUCCAACACAACUUCAAUGAGAGGUUCUGCCGGGUAAGGCCCCUAACAGCAGCACAACGUGUCACUUCACACUCAUGAAGCACUGACUUGCUUGCAGGCCACAAUCAAGGCAUCGAACCUGCCUCUGUCCAUCAAGGCACCACUGUACAUCGGCUUCUGUACAGAGUAAGUGGAAGGAUGCCAUCGAGUUUGUGUACUGCCACACAAACUGUAAGUGUGGCAUUUAUUGCAGCUGCAGUUGCAUGCUUGGNNNNNNNNNNNNNNNNNNNNNNNNNNNNNNNNNNNNNNNNNNNNNNNNNNUCCCGCCGCCGCCACGCCUGCCGUUUAGGCUACUGCACCUCCCAGCCCCAACGCCGUCGCUGCCGCUGCUGCUGCAUUGCUAUUUCCCGCCGUCGCCACGCCUGCCAUUUAGGCUACUGCACCUCCCAGCCCCACUGCCGUCGCUGCCGCUGCUGCUGCGUUGCUAUUUCCCGCCGCCGCCGCGCCUGCCGUUUAGGCUACUGCACCUCCCAGCCCCACCGCCAUCGCUGCCGCUGCUGCUGCGUUGCUAUUUCCCCCCGCCGCCACGCCUGUACUUCUGACACAUUACAGCCACACAGCGCAACCUCUCCACCAACAACAGGAUGCCAGAAUGCAGGGGCAGAGGAACAUACGCCUGUAUGGAGGCGCUGGCUCGCCACCUGCACCACGCACACCUGAUCAACCCAGCACUACCAGAUGGGGUGCACAGCCUGUACAAGGCUGCUGGCCCAUCAAGGUGCAUGCCAGGCACAUCCCAUGCGCACACCCUCCCUGCCCAGCCUACUUCUGACAUCGUUUGAACGUCAUCAUGGCCGCAGUCGGGGGAUGGCAAAACUAGGGGGGAAAGGGGUAAAACGUGGAGGAGCGGAAUGGUUAGGAGGGCGAUUUAAGGGCAUGACGGGGGGCCCCCGCAACCUAGGCAAUGCAUUCACUUGAACGUCACCAUGGCCGCAGUCCGGGGAUGGCAAAACAGCAUCCCAGGCUCCCAUCACCAUCCCCGCCAUCACCAAUGCCACCGACACCAAAACUGAACGCUACCAAAACCACCACAGCACUUCCACCAUCAUCCAUGCCACAGCAUGAUGUAGAGUGAUGGCGGAAAUCAUUGAUUUGACACUGAAAUGCUGUGUCGAUCGGAAAGCAGCUCCAAUACGGACUGAUAUAAGAUUGAGCCAUUAUUCAGUACCAUAUGUGAAGGAACAGGCGCCUGUGGGAGGGAUCAAUGGUUCUGCAAAGCCCGACAUCAAAUGUCCGAGAGGCAACGGACACCACACGUAUGAACACAAAUCCAUUAUACUCAUGGAAUUGCAUAGAUUUUAAGAUCGAAUAAUGACAGUAAAAGAUGCCCUUGCGCUUGCAUGUGUGAAUCCUGGAUCCAUCAGUGCAAGUUGUACCUGUCAUGGAGCUGCAAAUCGGAAAGGCAUUACAGUGUCUGGCACUUAACUGUGCCAAAUACAUGUAAUUCUUACUUAAUAUACUUAUACUCUUUGACCAAACAGACGACAGCCAAAGUCAUCGACUUUCCUUUGACCGCGAGCUUGCUCAGAAUGUCGGCGGUGCAGCAUUCCGCACGUCUAAUUAGACGGGCCAAUGUCACGUUGAAGCCUGUCGGUUACCUCCAGCACUUUGCAGCCCAGCGGACCCUGAUAAUGAACUCGGUCCUCACCUCCAAUGGCGACGAAGUAUCAAAAGCCCUUGCGGGUGCCCU
Molecule: long non-coding RNA, 2425 nt
Filed under: Volvox carteri
Lineage: Eukaryota; Viridiplantae; Chlorophyta; Chlorophyceae; Chlamydomonadales; Volvocaceae
Description: long non-coding RNA (VCAR_LNC003885)
Source: RNAcentral